UGUUGAUGGUAUGGAUUCUGAGUC
RNAcentral lists this non-coding RNA (24 nucleotides) under Mus musculus (house mouse). The record is from RNAcentral. Lineage: Eukaryota; Metazoa; Chordata; Mammalia; Rodentia; Muridae.